UACGUAGGGGGCAAGCGUUGUCCGGAUUUACUGGGCGUAAAGAGCGUGUAGGCGGCCAAGCAGGUCCGUUGUGAAAACUGGAGGCUUAACCUCCAGACGUCGACGGAAACCGCGUGGCUAGAGUCCGGAAGAGGAGAGUGGAAUUCCUGGUGUAGCGGUGAAAUGCGCAGAUAUCAGGAAGAACACCAGUGGCGAAGGCAGCUCUCUGGGACGGUACUGACGCUGAGACGCGAAAGCGUGGGGAGCGAACAGG
RNAcentral lists this ribosomal RNA (253 nucleotides) under uncultured bacterium. RNAcentral's name for it is "partial 16S ribosomal RNA". It matches the Rfam family "Bacterial small subunit ribosomal RNA", at positions 524 to 776 of the family's 1533-position model. The record is from RNAcentral.